CCUACGGGAGACAGCAGUGGGGAAUAUUGCACAAUGGGGGAAACCCUGAUGCAGCGACGCCGCGUGAGUGAAGAAGUAUUUCGGUACGUAAAGCCCUAUCAGCAGGGAAGAAAAUGACGGUACCUGACCAAGAAGCCCCGGCUAACUACGUGCCAGCAGCCGCGGUAAUAAGUAGGGGGCAAGCGGUAUCCGGAUUUACUGGGUGUAAAGGGAGCGCAGACGGCAGCGGAAGUCUGAAGUGAAAUGCCAUGGCUUAACCAUGGCACUGCAUUGGAAACUGUGCAGCUGGAGUGCAGGAGAGGUAAGCGGAAUUCCUAGUGUAGCGGUGAAAUGCGUAGAUAUUAAGAGGAAAACCAGUGGCGAAGGCGGCUUACUGGACUGUAACUGACGUUGAGGCUCGAAAGCGUGGGGAGCGAACAGGAUUAGAUACCCUUGUAGUC
This 440-nucleotide ribosomal RNA is filed under the name uncultured bacterium. Its description in RNAcentral is "partial 16S ribosomal RNA". It matches the Rfam family "Bacterial small subunit ribosomal RNA", at positions 338 to 795 of the family's 1533-position model. The record is from RNAcentral.